RNAcentral lists this ribosomal RNA (251 nucleotides) under uncultured Gemella sp. RNAcentral's name for it is "partial 16S ribosomal RNA". It matches the Rfam family "Bacterial small subunit ribosomal RNA", at positions 113 to 354 of the family's 1533-position model. The record is from RNAcentral. Lineage: Bacteria; Bacillati; Bacillota; Bacilli; Caryophanales; Gemellaceae.
CAACGUAAAGAACCUACCUUAUAGACAGGGACAACUAUUGGAAACGAUAGCUAAUACCUGAUAAGAAAGAAACUCGCAUGAGAGAAGUUCGAAAGUCGGAGCAAUCUGACACUAUAAGAUGGCUUUGCGGUGCAUUAGCUAGUUGGUAGGGUAAAAGGCCUACCAAGGCGACGAUGCAUAGCCGACCUGAGAGGGUGAUCGGCCACAUUGGGACUGAGACACGGCCCAGACUCCUACGGGAGGCAGCAGGC